CAUGGACAGAGGAGCCUGGUGGGCUACAGUCCAUGGGGUUGCAAAGAGUUGAACAUGACUUGGCAAUUAAACAACCACAACCUAGUAGUUAUCUCAUCAAAUGUCCCUAAGUCUGGGUUUGUCUGAUUAGAUGGGAUAAAAUAUUUUUGGCAGGAUCACUACUGAAGUGAUGUUAUGACCUUCAUCCUUCUCUGUGCAUCACUUCAGAAGGUGCAUGAGUGCAGUGUGUGCCGCUAAUGAUAUCGAUUUUGAUCAUUUGGUUAAGGUGCUGAAUGAUAGAAUUAUCCACCAUAAAAGUGUUUUCACAUUUGCAAUGAAUAAAUAUCUUGUGGGGAGACACUUUGAGACUAUUCAAAUGUCCUGUUUCUCAUCUCACUUUUUCCCAUUAACUUUAGCAUCCUUCAAUGAUUACUUCUCUGCAACAAUGUUCACUGUGGUGUUUACUAAUGGUCAUUUUUAAUUUUCAUCAUUCCUUAUAAAAUUAUUAAUUGAAUUCUGCUGUAAGGAAGAGCAAGUCCUUCAUCUCCACUUAUUAUUCAUUUAUUUUUGGAUUAGUAUGGAUUCAUGGAUAUUUAUUUUAGUCUAUGUGUUAUAAUCCAUUACUAUACUUUUAUUUAUUUUGUUGCUCAAACUGUCCCAGAUAUAGUCAGUGGGAGCUUAUUUAAUUUAGUCCAUGUGUCUUUUUCAACAUAUUCACAUCAUUUGUUGAACAUUUCCUUCUUAUUUUUUGGUUCCAUAAGUAUUUCAGGCUCAUCUUAUACAUAUAAUUUUUAAUGCUUCUGUCCUCCAAUUUCCUAUAUCUUUAAGGAUCUCCAUUUCCUUUUAUCAAAUAAUGAUACUUAUAAACCAAAAGAUGAGCACUAGGUAAAGUUAUUACUACUGAGAUGUUACUACUUCCAGGAUCUCUUAGGAAAGAUAGCUAUGAAAUGAUAUAUUUACUUACUAAUGCAAAAUAUGCAUAUAUAUUCAUUUCUGUAUCUAUUUAUGCACACACACAUAUUAAAACUAUAAGUUCAGACUAAUAGUUCUAAUCCCAGUCCCGCAUCACUAGAUUUACUGUCAUUUUCUUCCUUUCCUUAUUUAUAGCUCCUUUCUCUGACCAGGAGAAGCUUGGCCCUCAUUUUUCACCACAUAUUCACUUACUAUAAUCCAAGUAUACACAUAAACUAGUUUCCAAAUUUCUAACUCACACCCUUGCAUCAAAAACAAAUUUACUAAUGUUAAAGAAAAAAUAAUCAAUGAUGUGUGUUAAAGAUGGUAAGGCAGACUUUGUUCAGGACCAUCAUGGUAGGUGGAGGAUAACAUACUCUACAGAAAACAGUUUAGACAGCUCUUAUUCACUUAAAAAUCAGAUCAUUAAAGUCAUUCCAUACCAAUUCAGGGAAAUUGUCUCCCCAACCCCCCACCUCUCUUUUUUAACGGCUACCUAGCAUCCAGUGUAUGGAUGGACUAUAGUUUAUUCAAUAACUCUUCAACGUAUGGACAUUUAGGUUGUUUCCAGUAUUUUGCAUAUGCAAGCAAUGCUGAAGAAAUGUUCACAUUUAUUUUCAUAUUUUUGAAGGUGUAGCUGCUGGAUAAAUUACUAGAAGUGAAACUGCUGAGUCAAAAGGUUGGUGUGUAUGAAAUUUUGUUAACUAUCUCCAAAUUCCCUUCCAGAUGGAGCACACCAAUUUUCAUUUCCACCAGCAAUGUAUGAAAGAAACUAUAUCCUUUAGGGAUUUAUUUAAUGGUCAGAGACGAGGCCACAUGAACUUCUGGGAUACAGACAUUUUAAAAUUCAAUUUAAUAUUUGUUGAAAUACUUUCUUGCUUUUCUCCUCUGUAUGUGUAAGCCAGCAGUUUGUUAACUAUGACAUUGGGCAAGGUACUUAAACAAUAAAACUUGGCUUUAUUGUUUAUACAUAUGUAAAAUAAUAAAACUUAAUUUUAAAAACUUUUUUAAGAUAGUAAAUGAGAUUACGUCUGUAGGGAGUGUAUUACAGUGCCUGGCAAUAAAUGAGAAUUUGGGAUGAGUGAAGUGCUUCAUAAAUACAUAGUGAAAUAAAGUGUUUAAUUUUCUCCUGGCAUCUUUGCACAGCACAAAUGCCUGAAUAAAAUGGCUCUUCUUCACAGUAGUUCACCUGUGUCUGUGCUGGGAGAUAUUAGGGCCCAUCCUUUCCUUUAAUUGUUGGGCCCUCAAUUGUAGCACAGCAUCAUAGUCAAAUAUUUACUCAGGAAUGUGGUAUAUCUCAAUUUAGCUAUUUGUCCAAAAUACCUACCAAACCCACCAUCUCUUCUCUAUCCCUAAAGACACUGCCCUAAUCCAGGGCCCCAUCUGUGACCUGGUCUCGGGUCUUCUAACAGCUCUCGCUGACUGGACUUGCUCCUCCAACUCCUUCUCUACACAGUUCUGGAGGAUUCCACUGUAAUCUCUUUUGUGUAAUUUCCAUAGGUAAAAGCCUUUCUUUGAUUCCACAUGGCUUAGGGAUUUUAAAGCCCAUAGGUAUAUUUGCCUUUUCCUUGAUAAUCCUUGGGCUUUCCCACCAGUAGGCUUUUGGGCAUGUUAUUCCAUUGGCCUGGAAUUCCCUGCCUGAUCUUUCAGCCUGGUGAAAUCCUUGUGAAAUUUUUGUUUUGUGGUGUCCCUGACUGCUUGUUACUGCCAAUGGCACUUGGAAUGAAAUCUCCACCCUAGCUCUUCACAGCUGUUCUGGCCCCCUGCUUAGACAUUAAGUACAAAAUCUAGGUUUCGUUUAUCCUUGUUUCAUGUACCAGGUUAUAUUGCCUUAAUCUUCCUUGUUCUCUAACAGUCUCCUUAGUCAGACUUCCAGCUGCUUGAGAGCAACAGUGAUGGUUUAAUCACCUUACCAUCUGUAAGACCUCACAAAGACCCGGUCCAGAGUGAGGGGUCAAUAACGCAUGCUGCUGAGUGUGUUUGCUGUGGGCCGUGGGGUCAGGGAAGAGCGCUCCAGUUUUCAAAAGCAGAAGAAGUCUGUUCUCCACACUGAUGGGACAGGCAUGACUCGCUCCCACCUGUUUUCUUUCUUUCCUCCUAUGGGAGGCCAAGGCUCCCAAGACCAGGCUGCUUGCACUGAAAACUGCUCUGCUCUUUUAUGCACUGCCUUAACGAGAGCUUAUCCCUGCCUCUUUAACAUGAAGUGUUGAAGUUAUUUUAAUCUUGUUAAUCGUAGUUUAUUUUGGGUAGUCAGCUGAACAGUGAUACAUGUGUCUUAAACCAGUGGUUCUCAUUUUUUUCUCCCAAUGCCUUGUCCCAGAGUAUACUUGAGGAUUUGUCAGACUAGAGUGUGGAGGAAUGAAAAAGGGUUCAGAAGUCUUUAGAGGUCAGCAACAGAGCCCCCGCUCUUCCUCUUAGCCAAAUGAACUCACUCUGUAGGAGUGAGAUACUCAGAACUGUAUUAGAGAAAGCCUAACCCUCACUGUACACAUGUGCCUAACUGCCAGUGAUUCCCAACCGCCAGCUAUCCUGAAGGGUGUCUAAGGUCAGCGCAUGCGUCCAACCACCAGUGAGUCCCAAAAGCCAGUGAUCCCGAAGGGUGUCUAACGUCAGCGCAUGCGCCAAACAUCAAGCGCUGUCUGAGGCGGUGCCUAACGUCAGCGCAUGCGCCCAACCACCAGUGAGUCCCAAAAGCCAGUGAUCCCGAAGGGUGUCUAACGGCAGCGCAUGCGCCAAACCUCAAGCGAUGUCUGAGGCGGUGCCUAACGUCAGUGCAUGCGCCCAACCGCCAGUGUGUCCCAACCGCCAGUGAUCCCGAAGGGUGUCUAACGGCAGCGCAUGCGCCAAACCUCAAGCGAUGUCUGAGGUGGUGUCUAACGUCCGCGCAUCUGCCCAGCAGCAAGUGAUGUUUGAAGGGUGUCAAAUGCUAGUUAGCACAUGCUCCAAGCCACAAGUGGAAUUUGUUGUUUGAAAGUGUGGAAGAAUUAUCUGUCUCAGACAUGGAGGCACCCACUUCGUGGGUUUGGAUUGUAUGUGCUCUCGUCUUCUCUCUUCACUAAACUGACCCUCAAAGACCCGCCAGACUGGACCAAGACCUCUGGAGCACUUCCCAGGAAGCUUCUUGCUUGGAAGAUUAGCAGUUUCUCCCCAAGCAUCGCUCUCAACUUGCUGAACACCUGACAACAGUUCCAGCAGGACAUCUCCCUCAGAUCCCAGGACAGGCAGCAUUCGGUAGAGCCCAGGGUUUGGAAUCAGAGUCCUCGGUGCCAUAUUGUGACCUCAGCAUAUCAUCUGUGACAUCUUGGGCCAACUGAUCAACCCCUAACUCUGGGGUCCUAAUUUCUGCACAGGUAUGAUCUGGGCAUGUGCGUCUGUGGAAUUAUAGCAUCACAUCUGAUUACAAUGCCAACAGCAAACACACCAAAUCACCUGGACCAGGUUAUGAAUCUGUACCCAGAAAAUCCAGGUCAGUGUCUUUGUAGGAUGACACAGAGAUAUCACUUAUAAACCUAGACAAGGGCACUGAGGUUCAUGGACUGUAAGUGAAUUUCCUGAUCAAGCUAUUAUUGCCUUUGAGUAAUAAUUAAAGCCAUUGAAAUGUUCUACAUCUGGGAAUGGAGGAGGGUUGAUUUUCAUGAAACCUUAGGAGAAGCUGCUGUCAGGUUGCCAAUGAAGUGUAAGCCUGCUCAUGAAAGAUAUCUUUGUAGAUUAUAAACUUUUGCUUGAUAUAUAACUCAAAUCUUGAAGGUGAUUUUAGCUAAAAAUAACUCAAGCCACAUGGAGCCUACGUGCUACGUACUGUGCUUCUGGGAAGUCAAGGAUCGAUCUUGAGACCCGGGAGGGUGAAGAGACAAGGAAGAACAGGGCGUCGACAGCAGACACACCUGAGUCUCAGCCCCACUUCAGACUGCCCCUGGAAGCCACAGUUCCCUCAUGUAUAAAAUACCGACUGUAAUCAACUGAUUCAUUCAUCUGUUAACUCACCUAGCUUUGGGUCUAGCACACUGUCAUUUCCACUGACAUGGCAUCAUUUCAAAAGAAGCCUCCAGGUCAAGCCCAACAUCAAAGAUGAAGAAUUGCUGCACCCACGAAGAGGCCACGGGAGAAUUGUGGGUACUAGGAAGGCUGGAGAGAAAUAUAAUCUAUUGCAGUCUUUUGUAAAGUUUUGUCAAUGUGUCAUUGAAAUACAUUCCUAGAAGUGGGAUAACUGGGAUACAGAUUAAGUACACAUGUAAUUUUUCUAAAUAUCACCAAAUUCUCCUUCAUAGUACUUUAAACAUUAAAACCAUU
Molecule: non-coding RNA, 5220 nt
Organism: Odocoileus virginianus texanus
Lineage: Eukaryota; Metazoa; Chordata; Mammalia; Artiodactyla; Cervidae
Source: RefSeq, a predicted model, not a curated record